CUAAUUGCUCCUGUUUUUGCAUCGAUUCUGCGCAGCGUGGAAAAGCGAGUCUCCAACUUGCUUGUGGAUUUAUUGACCACCGGGUCCCUCCUCAGCUUUCACCUUCCAGGCCUCGCCCACUCUAUUUUGGGGGCAGGAGCUGGGACACAGCACCUGUUUCCUCCUCUCCAAGCAUGGGCUGGGCAUUUUGACGGCUUCGCCUUUCCACCAAGCCAGGUGUUGGUGCUUCUGUAUUUUCCAGCUCACCAUCCCUCCCCGCCCCCCUACGCAUCCCUAUUUCCGUGGCUGAGGGCCCGGGGAGAAGAGAAAUCCGCCCUCACACACCAGAUCCCCAGCUAGCUACCUGCUCUGGAGGGCACCAGGCGGACCGCGCGGACCCACCUGCCUCCAAAGUUUGGGGCGUGGGGGAGCCGGGGCACGUGGCGUGUAGCUAUGGCUCAGCCUGGGGGUCCGGAGCAGCCCCGGGAACAUGCCGCUGGGGACGGAUUCACCGACGUCAUCAGGAGCCGAGCUGUGGUUAAGAAUCCGCCUGCCAGUGCAGGGGACACGGGUUCGAUCCCUGGUCCGGGAAGAUCCCCCAUGCUGCAGAGCAGCUAAGCCUGUGCACCACAACUACUGAGCCUGCAUGCCACAACUACUGAAGCCCACACGCCUAGAGCCUGUGCUCCGUAACAAGAGAAGCCACCGCAGUGAGAAGCCCGUGCACCGCAAUGAAGAGUAGCCCCCGCUCGCUGCAACCAGAGAAAGCCCACGCGCAGAAACGAAGACCCAACACAGCCAAAAGAAUUGUCGACUGUCACACAGAAAAUCCUAUAGCUUUGGGGGACAUACUUGUCAUCAGGGCCUCUUUGCUUUGCUGUCAUACCAUUUCUGCUUCCACUAGAAACAAAAUAUUUGGAGGAGGGUAGGGAGGUGAAAUAGGCAGCAAGCCAGAGUUCAGUCAGCAGGACAGUAAGACAUAAAAUGCUAAGAAUGCCUAGGAAAAUGCUACUGAAGUAGAGUGUGAUCAAUAUUGGGCCUGAGGCACAUGGCAAAGAGGAAAGAUUCUGUAGAUGAGUAGAAAUGGUCCUGUGGAUGUUGGAGCAAUAGGAGCUGUCUGUCAUGGACUUUGUCUUUGCAGGGGCUUAGCGGAGGGCUUUUUACUCUGAGAAACCAGUCCUGUGGCAGGCCAAGAGAAUAGAAACUAUAUCAACCUAGGAACAGUUAGGUAUAUAUUUGAAAAAAUAGAAAUAUAUUUAUUUAAAAUUGUUUCCUGAUGCCAAAAGAGGCAGUGUACAGAGUGGCAGAAACCUACAUAUUGAACAUUAAGGUCAAUAAGAUAGGAAUUCAAUCUCAGUUCAUCCUAUAACCAUGUGUAAGUUAUUCUUUAUCUCUAAAAUGGUAAGAAGCAUAUUUAGAGUACAAAUAAAGAACGGAAGAUAAUAGAUGUAAAUUUCAGUGUACAAUGCCUGGCCGUAGAUCAGUGGUGAUUGACAUUCACUGUUGUUGUGGUUUCCACACAAACAAGCACGAGAAUUCUGUCAGCAUUAUUACAAACAAUGAAUUGCAUAUGAACUGAUCCUUUAAGUGUACGGUCACAACCCAGCUUUAAGUGGAUAAAGCAGUACAAUGAAACCCAUAUUACCUACAAGUACAGAAACAGGAUCACCCUGAACUUGAAACAGAAGACUGAAAAUCGCUUUACAAAAUACAUAGUAUAGAGUCCACAAUCUUGAUUCCUUUCGUCCUUGCAUUGGGAGAAAUAGUUGUGUCUGACAAGUUAUAACCAAAACUGAACAGAUGGACACUGUAAGGUGUUGCAUUCCUUAUGGAAUCGAAGAUGUCCUGUGCCUUGGUCAUGAAAGCAGCAGCAUGAGCAGUUACCCCCUCCAAAUACCACCCAGGGCUGCCAGGGACAGGAAGGGUUGGAACAGGAGGGCCAGGUGGGUUUCCACUGCACCGCCACCAUCUGCCAGGAUCUCUGCUGUAUCCGCCUACAUUUGGAAGUUAGGAAAUAGGCAAAAAGACCAUUAAUCCAGGGUUCUUCAAGAAGCUAACUCUGAUGGAGAUUUUAGUUUGCAUAAUAGUAAAGGGAUGGCCUGGUGAUCAAACCCUGUGUAAGGGAAGAGAAGGAAGCAGGAGAAGUCCAGUCGUUUGUGAUGCCGGGCCUCAGAUGUCACCAUGGGGGAGCCCUGGAGAGCCAGGAUCAACGCAUGAUGGGCCAAAAAGGCCAGUACUUGACACUCCUGCUUUCAUCAGUCGUUGGCUUUGGGCUGACCCAGGAAGGGUAUGACCUUGAAAAAAGUGUCUCUUUACAGUAGAGGCAUUCCCUGAAGUGGGUGACAGAUGAAAGCUGGGGCAAAGAUCUGGGGCAAGAUCCUUCCUUGAAGAAGGGUCUUGGUGGUUCAUUGCAUUCAUCAUGUAAGUAAUACUCCAAAGAUUUGACACACCGAAAUAUAGGCUGACUUGAAGUAGCUCUGGUUUGUUUUCAAAGUUAUUUUGCAAACUAUUGUCUUUUGCAAUGAAGAACUAAGUGUCCCGUAGUUGAGAGGUAGAGCUGUGUUUCAUUAUAAAGUACUGCUUUAUUUUCUUUUAAUAUGUUCAUUGAUUUAAUGGUAGAAGCAGAUAUUGACAUCCGUGGUUUUAUAUCUAUCCAAUAUGUGUUCUCCAAGGAUGUACAGUCCUGUUCUUUUUAUUUAUGGGGACCUAAAAAUGAUAGCGGACAAAGAUAACAAGGCUCUGAUUUACUUAGAAUUAAUGUUCAGUUUAAUACUUCAUGUUGACGUGCACUUGAAUUAUAUCCCGCAUUUGUGUGGCUUUGUAGAAUGUGUUUUGGAAUACAUAUUUUCCUCUCUUAAAUAUGACUGCCUGAAUAUUGCUUUUGUUAUUCAUUUGAUGCUUAUUAGCAAAUGCUAGACUAAGCUAGGUGCUCUAUAGACCUAUUUAUGUAAAGCUUGUUGCCAUGGUAACUAAGUGCUUCUCAUUUAGAAAAUAGACCAAAUUUGGUGGGAAAGGAAGAGUAGCUGCCCAAGGAAUCCUUGGCCAUAUUAAGAGCAUGUUUUCUAGGAGUGGAAAGGGAAAAUCAAGGAAAUAAUUCUCCCGUCUCACAGUAAUUCCUAGUAGCUAUUCCUGGGUCAAGUUAUUAAAGAAUCAGUCAUAUGGCAAAAAAUGAGCUUGUCUUAGAGUUUCAUGAUACUUUAUGGUAUAUAUGGUCUCAUCUAUUUACCAAAUAAACUGUGUUCAAAAAAGGAAGGAACAGAAGAAUCGAACAAAAGUCAUUGUUCUU
This is a long non-coding RNA of Physeter macrocephalus (sperm whale), 3265 nucleotides long. RefSeq lists it as uncharacterized. The transcript is spliced from 6 exons. The record is from RefSeq and is a predicted model, not a curated record. NCBI's taxonomy places the organism in Eukaryota, Metazoa, Chordata, Mammalia, Artiodactyla, Physeteridae.